Molecule: transfer RNA, 73 nt
Filed under: Spirochaetaceae bacterium
Lineage: Bacteria; Pseudomonadati; Spirochaetota; Spirochaetia; Spirochaetales; Spirochaetaceae
Description: tRNA-Met
Rfam family: tRNA
About the family: Transfer RNA (tRNA) molecules are approximately 80 nucleotides in length. Their secondary structure includes four short double-helical elements and three loops (D, anti-codon, and T loops).
Source: RNAcentral
GGCGGCGUAGCUCAGGUGGCAGAGCACACGGCUCAUAUCCGUUAGGUCAUUGGUUCAAUCCCAAUCGCCGCUA